Molecule: ribosomal RNA, 576 nt
Filed under: uncultured eukaryote
Lineage: Eukaryota
Description: SSU rRNA
Rfam family: Eukaryotic small subunit ribosomal RNA
Source: RNAcentral
UAAAAACCCCGACUUCGGAAGGGGUGUAUUUAUUAGAUACAAAACCAAUGCCCUUCGGGGCUCUUUGGUGAUUCAUGAUAACUAUACGAAUCGCACGGCCUUGCGCCGGCGAUGGUUCAUUCAAAUUUCUUCCCUAUCAACUUUCGAUGUUUGGGUAUUGGCCAAACAUGGUUGCAACGGGUAACGGAGGGUUAGGGCUCGACCCCGGAGAAGGAGCCUGAGAAACGGCUACUACAUCCAAGGAAGGCAGCAGGCGCGCAAAUUACCCAAUCCCGACUCGGGGAGGUAGUGACAAUAAAUACUGAUACAGGGCCCUUUCGGGCCUUGUAAUUGGAAUGAGUACAAUUUAAAUCCCUUAACGGGGAGCAAUUGGAGGGCAAGUCUGGUGCCAGCAGCCGCGGUAAUUCCAGCUCCAAUAGCGUAUAUUAAAGUUGUUGUGGUUAAAAAGCUCGUAGUUGAACCUUGGGCCUGGCUGGCCGGUCCGCCUCACCGCGUGCACUGGUCCGGCCGGGCCUUUCCCUCUGUGGAACCCCAUACCCUUCACUGGGCGUGGCGGGGAAACAGGACAUUUACUUU